Molecule: long non-coding RNA, 1150 nt
Organism: Cyprinus carpio (common carp)
Lineage: Eukaryota; Metazoa; Chordata; Actinopteri; Cypriniformes; Cyprinidae
Source: RefSeq, a predicted model, not a curated record
UGUGCAUGACGCUUUUGACAGUCAUAACUGAGGCGAUUAAGGAAAGUGAUCAUUUAACAGUCCGUUUGACUGAAAAUAACCAUAAUGAACACCCAGGCACAUUAAAUAGCGUUUUGUCCUCCCUCCUAGCGUUAGCAUCCAAGGGCUCAGGCGAGAAUAUUAGCCUGGCAAUGAGGCGCUGCACUAAUGCUACGCUAACUCUCCCCAACUCCCAUGACUCCCCAGUGUUAGAUAACAGUAAGAGCGACUGUUCAAACUAGUUGGUGUAACGAGGGAUGACCGGGACACACCGCAGCGGAGAGAGGAAGAGACACCCCCCUCCUCCACCGUCCCCCGGGAACAUUUGCAACGUCUCUGUCACACCCCACAGUCCAGUAAAACCCACUGCAGAAGUUGACUAGAUUCACUGUGAGUUUGCAGAAUGGCUGACCUCUGCUGACGGAGUAAAGUCAAAGUUCAGAGAGAAGCAGUGCAGCAGAAGACACAUUUCUGAUGUCUGAACUCAUCCAAUAAAGCACAGUUAAGAAAUGUAAUCCAUGAGCACAGGAGAAGAUGUGUGUCACAUUGUUCUGCUCACUGCAGGGAAAAAAAAGCAAAAAAACUCAAGAGACGGAAGACAGAAAGCAGGAGGGAGAAAUACAGAGAGCGCCACCAAAGGCCCGGACGUAUCGCACAUCACCCCUCCUCCACAUGUUUCAAUCCUUCACUGUGACCUCUGACCUCUGCCCACCCCCCUUCAAACACACACACAGGCAUCCCGUUUCCCUGCGUUAAAUUAACAACACACUUCUGCUCUGACUACAAGACGUACACGCAGUAUUUGAUCUGCUGACACACACUACAUCACUCCACACACACUCCUGAUAGCAGCCGGAUAUGAGCUCUGUGUGUGUGUGUGUGUGUGUGCACGGUCAACUCACGUCUGAUUGAACUACCUUUAAUUUUACAUUUUAAAAAUGCCUUUGAAGAUGAUCACAUUGUUUCUAAAUGAGUGUGAAUAUACAGAAUUACAAAACAUUUAACAAGAACUGAAACAGUUCGAUCAAAGAGACGAUUUAGAUGUUCACACUGAUUUUAUGUUUGUGUCUGUUUGAAUUAUGAUAAAAUAAAAAAUAUGCACAGAAAACAAAUAGAAACAGAAUCAAAACUA